Molecule: ribosomal RNA, 857 nt
Filed under: uncultured archaeon
Lineage: Archaea
Description: bacterial SSU rRNA
Rfam family: Archaeal small subunit ribosomal RNA
Source: RNAcentral
UUCCGGUUGAUCCUGCCGGACCCGACUGCUAUCAGAGUGGGACUAAGCCAUGCGAGUCGACGUAGCAAUGCGUGGCGAACGGCUCAGUAACACGUAGUCAACAUGCCCAGGGGACGUGGAUAACCUCGGGAAACUGAGAAUAAACCACGAUAGGUCACGAUUUCUGGAAUGGAUCAUGGCCUAAAUCUACAUGGCCCCUGGAUUGGACUGCGGCCGAUCAGGCAGUUGGUGAGGUAAUGGCCCACCAAACCUAUAACCGGUACGGGCUCUGAGAGGAGAAGCCCGGAGAUGGGCACUGAGACAAGGGCCCAGGCCCUAUGGGGCGCAGCAGGCGCGAAACCUCUGCAAUAGGCGAAAGCCUGACAGGGCUACUCUGAGUGAUUUCCGCUAAGGGGAUCUUUUGGCACCUCUAAAAAUGGUGCAGAAUAAGGGGUGGGCAAGUCUGGUGUCAGCCGCCGCGGUAAUACCAGCACCCCGAGUGGUCGGGACGAUUAUUGGGCCUAAAGCAUCCGUAGCCGGUUCUGCAAGUCUUCCGUUAAAUCCAGCCGCUCAACGGAUGGGCCGCGGAGGAUACUACAGGACUAGGAGGCGGGAGAGGCAAGCGGUACUCAGUGGGUAGGGGUAAAAUCCUUUGAUCCAUUGAAGACCACCAGUGGCGAAAGCGGCUUGCCAGAACGCGCUCGACGGUGAGGGAUGAAAGCUGGGGGAGCAAACCGGAUUAGAUACCCGGGUAGUCCCAGCUGUAAACGAUGCAGACUCGGUGAUGGGCUAGCCUUGUGCCAGCCCAGUGCCGCAGGAAGCCGUUAAGUCUGCCGCCUGGGGAGUACGGUCGCAAGACUGAACUUAAAGGAUUGGCG